Molecule: long non-coding RNA, 474 nt
Organism: Leopardus geoffroyi (Geoffroy's cat)
Lineage: Eukaryota; Metazoa; Chordata; Mammalia; Carnivora; Felidae
Exons: 3
Source: RefSeq, a predicted model, not a curated record
GUUGAGACAGGAGCCUAUCAGACAACACAGCAGAGGAGAAUCAGACAGAAAGAGACUGGAAAUGACAGACAAGGACACACGAAAAUUAGAGCUACAAAGAGGUAUAGCCUACCAUUUCUGACUUAUGCUAAGUGUUCUGACAACAAAAGGCAACCUUGAGAAAAACAGUAAUUUAUGGUUCUACAUGUCUACCACAACUGGGGCCAUCAGCCUUUCCACAUAUAACAAAACCGGGUGAAAUCAUACAAAAGGAAUAUGGAGGAACAUGGCGUAGAAGUGGCAUGACUGGACUAAAAGGACAAUCUACUUUAAUUUUAUGAAAAAUUGUCAUGACAGCAUCAUUGAGAGAAACACAAGCACAGAUACUCUACAUAAUUUUAAACCACUAUGUAAAACAGAAUGAAGUCUAUGAACUUUUUAUUGUUUGACAAUUACAAUUUUGGAAAAUCUGUUUCUUAACAGUUUAUAAAAGUA